GAUGAACGCUGGCGGCGUGCCUAAUACAUGCAAGUCGAGCGAACAGACGAGGAUCUUGCUCCUCUGACGUUAGCGGCGGACGGGUGAGUAACACGUGGAUAACCUACCUAUAAGACUGGGAUAACUUCGGGAAACCGGAGCUAAUACCGGAUAAUAUAUUCACCCGCAUGGUUCAAUAGUGAAAGACGGUUUUGCUGUCACUUAUAGAUGGAUCCGCGCCGCAUUAGCUAGUUGGUAAGGUAACGGCUUACCAAGGCAACGAUGCGUAGCCGACCUGAGAGGGUGAUCGGCCACACUGGAACUGAGACACGGCCCAGACUCCUACGGGAGGCAGCAGUAGGGAAUCCUCCGGAAUGGGCGAAAGCCUGACGGAGCAACGCCGCGUGAGUGAUGAAGGUCUUCGGAUCGUAAAACUCUGUUAUAAGGGAAGAACAAAUGUGUAAGUAGCUAUGCACGUAUUGACGGUACCUAAUCAGAAAGCCACGGCUAACUACGUG
RNAcentral lists this ribosomal RNA (497 nucleotides) under uncultured bacterium. RNAcentral describes it as "partial 16S ribosomal RNA". It matches the Rfam family "Bacterial small subunit ribosomal RNA", at positions 28 to 507 of the family's 1533-position model. The record is from RNAcentral.